This 66-nucleotide transfer RNA is filed under the name Ebrechtella tricuspidata. RNAcentral describes it as "tRNA-Cys". Lineage: Eukaryota; Metazoa; Arthropoda; Arachnida; Araneae; Thomisidae. The record is from RNAcentral.
AGUAUAUUAGUUUAUAUAAAACAUUAAACUGCAAGUUUAAUAUUCAUAAUUUUAAUCUAAACAAUA